GAAUUUCGUGCCCCUCUAAUAGGCUGGUCCACAGAACCUACCCACUGCAGCAAGCUAAAACCCACCAUACAAUAAAAUUUUGACAGCAUGACAUGACUAAUAUUAUACUACCCAACUUGUAAAUGUAAAACAGAACAAUUCAUACAGUUCACAAACCACAAUUCCAUCCAGUCAUGCCAACACAUUACCAUAAGCCAUAAAUUAAAAUCAUAAAUUACAACACAUCAAGUGGUCUCCAGUUACUCUAUUUUCAAAGCCAUCAUUCAAUUUCAAGACAAUUUAUAAAAUCUUUUCAUUUAAACACAUUUUGUUUAUAAAACCUAAAAAUUAACCAUUUAAACUCAUUUUCCAUAAAAUUCACAAAAAUCGAAUAAAAAGACCACUUUAGAUAGUUAAAAUGAUGAUAAGGUUACUCACUAUUUCAAAAGUCGAAUUUUUAGAGUACUCCGACUAUCUAUCAUCGGGUACAAUUUCUUUGCCUUUAUCGGAGGAUUCACUACCUAGACAUAAUACACAAUCAAACAAUUUACCACAUUGGUGCUAAACCGUUAUAAAACUAUAUGAAUGCAUGAAAUGGAAUGUAAAUUAUUCGGAUUAUUGUCUAAACGCGGUGUUUUACACAAAUUCAAUUGUGUACCUAAAUAAAACGGUAUUGGCCCAAUUCGAUCUAUCACCCGAUUAAUUGGCCAAUAUGUCCAAUUCAACUCCAAUUAACUCCAUUUUUCUUUCAAUUCUCCAAAUUAUCAAACACAAGUCAAAUAGCAUAAAAUUUAGCAAAAUCAACUUCACAUUUUCUUUUGGAAAUUUCGGCCAUGGUGGGUGCAUCAACUGUCACGACCCGAAACCUCCCUCAGGCCCAUGACAAUCGCCGCGACGUCCCGAUUGACACUCAUUAUUCGGAAUGCCAACCGGAACCCCGCAGGGCUUACAUAUCAGUUUCUUUCCUUUCCUGUGAGCAAUCAUUGUUAAAUAUCGAGUUUUUAGAGAAUAUAUACUAUUUUAGAUAAAAAACAAUCAAAAUAAAAUUUUCGCCACACAAGGGUAUUUUGGUCAUUUUUUUUUCAAAAAUUUCGAAACUGGCUAAAACGUAAUAUACAAGUACAAAACACAUAAUUCAUAUUCAAAAUGAGUUUAAAAGUCUAAAAUCUUCAUUUAAAACGAAAUUACGGUUAUUUGAAUAUAAUAAGAAAAUAAAAGAAAUAUUAAGGAAAAUAUUCUAUUUUCUUAUAAAACAAUAUUUAUAGAGUUAUACGUGAAUAAUUUUUAUAGCGUAAAAGCUAAAUAAAUUUAUACAUACUGAAAUACAGUAAGCCAAAAUAUUUAAUUUAAUUUACAAUAACAAGAGGGCCCCCGAAUAAACAAAAGUAAAGAGGACUGUGAACCUACGGUUUGGAAAAUGCAGAUCCAAUGGUAGUCCUCGAUGAGAUCAGCUAUCUACAGUCUAUACUGAACCUGAAAUGGGUGGAAAGGAGUUGGGUGAGAUUUUGCAAUCCCAAUGAGUAAACAGACAUUAUCAUAAAUAUCUAAAGGCGAGUAAAAUGGAGGCAAGUUUAAACAACAAAUUUCAACCCAUUUCAUAAUGUUUUCAAUUUAUUUCUUAAACCAUAAAAUAUUUGUAAUUUACCAAAACAGUUGUUAAGGCUUAUGUCUUUUAUUAAAACAAGGCUCAAGCCAAAACUAAUCCUCGGGGAUACCUUGGCCGAGGCAUCUAACCGAGUCCGCCAAGGGUGUUAAAAUAUUCACACGUGAAACACAUUUUUAUUUUUAAAACCAGCCGUUCCUUGGCGUUGGCCGAGUUACACAUUCACGUGGGGGUUCGACGUGAAGUGAGCUCUAAUACUACCCCGGGAGUUACCCUCCUCGCCUCUACAACCGGAGUAACUAUAUAACUGGGUUUACCGUGCCCCUCUAAUAGGCAGUCCACGGAAACCCGUCACUGCAGUGACUAACCCACCAAUUUUAAUAAAAUUUCGACAGUAUAACGUGGCUUUUAUUUAUUUAUCCAGCCUGCAUAGUAAAACAACUUACAUAAAUUUCCCAAUGCAUUCACAAAAUAUAGCCACAUAUACUCAUUUCUCAUAAGCCAUUCCUAGGAAAAUAUAUAUUUUUCAAGUCAAUUUGUAGCCUCCAAUUACUCAAUUUCAUAAUCAAUACAAUAUAUUUUUAUUUGUCACAUUUAUUCCUAAAACAUCAAAAAUCCCGUUUUAAUCUCGUUCUCAUUUCAUAAAAUACAUAAAGGGCAUUUAAAAUAAACUCUAGAUAAUUUACAAUAAUAAUAAGUUUACUCACCGUUUGUACAAACUAAAAGCUUUCUAAGCGCCCCGAUCACUACUCGUCGGGUACGACUUCUUUGCCUUUUCCGGAAGGCUCUCCUCCUAGACACAUUACAAAAAUUUACACAAUUCAUCACAUUGAUGCUAAAUCACUAUAUAAUUAACUUAAAUCCUAUACUAAUGCAUGGUAUGAAAUGCAAUAGCCUAAAACGGCUUAAACGCGGUAUUAACCUAUUUUUGGCACUUUGCCCGAUAAAUUGCUAACGCGCUCCAUUUUAGCUCUAAAUCAUCCCAUUCUCUCUCCAACAUUUCUAACCAUUAAAUAUCAGCCAAUAACCUUCUAAAAACAACAAAAUCAGCUCACUCCCUUCCUUGGAAAAUUCGGCCAAAAAUGGGACAUUAACUCGGUUAAUUUUCUACUUUGUUUUUCUAUCACGUUUAAUCGUUUUUCAUCAUUUUCUCUUCAUUUCCCUUAGAAUAAAAUCAAUUCAUCAUCAUUGUACAGCAUUGAGCAUCCAGCCAAGAGUGGGUAUUGUGAAAAUUUAAUGAUUUCUUGCCCAAUUUAAUUUCUAAACACAUUUAACUAACUAAAACUAUCAAUUUAACUAAAAAUCAAAACCUAAAAAUUUCAAUUUCUCUCCCCUAGAAUUUCGUCCAGCCCUUGAUAUCACUUUUUGAUCUCUCUCCUCAAGCAUGCUAAAUGGAAAUAAAGGCAUAGGAAAGGUAGAAAUCAAGCUAAAAUCGAAAAAUCUUACCGUUAGACGCGUAAACGGUCGAAAACCGUGAAUUUCCCUUUGAAUUUUCUUGUUUCUCUUUGGUUUUUCUUUUUUUCUUCCUUUCCUCUCUAUUUCCUCUCUUGUUCUUCCUUAUGGUCGGCCAGCACUUAAAAUUUGGGUUUAAAUGGGCUGACUUUUCAUUAAAAUAAUAUUAUAUCAUUAAAAAAUGCCACAUGUGACUUUCCCAUUGGCCCAUUUUUAAAAUUUCAUCCAUUUGUUUCCAAAUUUUCACCAUACACUUGUCUCAUAUAUUCAUAGCUUAGAUAAAAUUCUCAGACUCAUCCAAAGUCUCGGUGGUGUAAUUUUUGAAAUUUACACUUUUACCCCUGUAAAAGUCAAAAAUUACAUUUUUACCCCAAAAAUUGAAAAAUUGCCCAUAGACAUAUUUUUCAUCCCUUAUACUCAUACCAUUCUCCAAUUUGUCAAAUUUGAUCUAAAUUCUCUCAAAAUCUCAAAUUUUAUCCGUGGGUGGUAAAAUUACGAUUUUGCCCCUACACUCCAAAAAUCACCAGAAUUAAACUUUUUCACUUCCUAUCAUUAAAUUUUACUCCAAAUAGUUAAUCUUGGUAAAAAAUUUCACUCCAUGAUCAAAUUAUUAUCUUAGGUGGCAAAAUGAUAAUUUUGCCCUUGAAUAUCAAAAUUUUCAAUUUUACCCGAAAUGAACCCUCGAACUCCGAACAAUAAUUUUUAGUCAUUCCUGGACUAUAAAAUAUUAAAUUUCAUCCUAAAAUUCCUAUUUGAACUAGUUCGAGGUUAAAUCAACUCAAGUGUACCGUUAGGUACGAUAUCGGGUUUCGUCUUUUUUUAGGUGCUUUCCUAGCAUAAUAACAUGCUACUCAGUGCAUGUAUGUCAUGACAUGUAUUUAUAGGGUCGGGUUUUACAUCAACACUAUGAUUUUUUCUACUCAAUUUUCUCACCGUAAUUCAUCAUUUCCUAACCAAUUAACUUGAAAUAAAAUCAAAUCCACCAUCAAUCUUCUACAUGGAAAAUUCGGCCAAUGAUGGGCAAUGGAAGAACAUGAAUUUUUCUUGCUUGAUUUUUAUGCUACACAUUAUUAACUAACUAAAAACACUAAAAUAUCUUAAAAUCUAACCAAAUCAAGCAUCAAAACUCCUCCCUCCAUGUCCGGCCAGCAAGAGACCCACCAUGAAACCAUGUGAUUCAACCAUGGAAAAUGCUAAAAAAUGUAUGGGAAAGGUAGAUCACAAGCUAUAAUUGAAAAAUCUUACCUUUUUUCACUUGUUUCCUUGAAUUUUCACACUUUUCCCUUGAAUUUUUCCACCUAGGGUUUUUGUUCUUCUUUUCUUCCUUUGUUCUUCUUUUGGCCGGCCAUAAUGAAG
RNAcentral lists this long non-coding RNA (4390 nucleotides) under Theobroma cacao (cacao). RNAcentral's name for it is "long non-coding RNA (TCAC_LNC005478)". The record is from RNAcentral. Lineage: Eukaryota; Viridiplantae; Streptophyta; Magnoliopsida; Malvales; Malvaceae.